Betta splendens (Siamese fighting fish) is the source of this 5470-nucleotide long non-coding RNA. RefSeq lists it as uncharacterized. NCBI's taxonomy places the organism in Eukaryota, Metazoa, Chordata, Actinopteri, Anabantiformes, Osphronemidae. The transcript has 2 exons. The record is from RefSeq and is a predicted model, not a curated record.
AUAUUCUCUGUUAUUGAACAGAUUUAUUUUACAUUUUUGAUAUGUAUACCGGUGUAAAUUUUAGGAACCAUGAGUAGGCGGAACCUUCAGAACUGUGUCUGCGCACCCCCGGCUGCCUAUUGCGGACCAUUUCCUGAUCCUCUCGAGAUGCAAAUUGGGAAAAGACACGAGUGUUUCUGUCGUUCCUUCAUUGCAGCUUUUCCUAUAUUUGACAGAUUUACGAAGGGAACUAACAAUUUCCCUAACAUAAUUGGGGGCUCGUCCGGGAUCCCAAGAUCCUCUCUUUGCCGGGACAUCGAGUCGGCGACUGAAGUCUGUGCACAGCCAGGUUUGGAACCUGCAGAAAAUCCUGGGAGGUGAAUUCCUGCCCAGGUCAGACGUCGGCUGGUGGUCCGACGAGGCGAGGUGACGGGAUCCUGAACCAGGGCCAGGACAUAGAUCGGGCGAGUAUGAAAAGAGUAAAUCCUAAGGUAUCUUAAAUUCCGUGAGUGGCUCACGAGGUAAAAGAAGACUGGGUCUUCAGAAAAGUUCCGUGACGAGGUCACGAGGUAAAAUAGGACCGGGUCCUCGUAAAAUAGAUUAAUGAUAGUUUGUCUGAUUGAAGCAGCGGCAGAGUGGAAACCUGACGGUGUCAACGUAAACUCUGUGAUCAGCUGGAGUAAAUCAGACUAUAUAAAUAAGUGUUAUUGUUUGUCGGUCUCUAAGUGAAUUUUAACUUCUUAGAGGAAGUCUCAGAGACUUUUUGUGUUGUGUGUCUGAUUGAGAUCAAAAUUGAGAGGUUGGUUUGCUGAGACAGCUGUGUCCGCAGGAAACUAGUUCCUGUAGAAGCUUGGCACAGUCGAUGCUCUCUGUGAACACUGUGACUGAUCGUUGAUCUCAAUCCUCGUAGUGAAGCAAAUUAAAGAACACUAAGGGUGAAAACCUUGAAGGUGAUUCCAAAUACAUGUCUAAAAGACAUUCUCAGUCGACUAUAAUAAUAUAUACAUAACUUACCAUAGUGGAAAAAGAAAUUUGGAUUUGAUGGAAAUUUAAAAAAGUAGAAUUGUGUUAAAAAUUUGAUGGAUAAAAUAACUGUGAUAACUGAAACAGUUAAAAGAACAAGAUGGGGAAUAUAAUAAAGGGACCAGUUAAAAAUUCAUGCUAUAUGCACAACAAAAUUUUGAAUUAAAAAUAAACACUAAAGGGGUGUAUAAGUAUGGAACAAAUUAAGUGAAGACAUAAAAAAUAUUAAUGAAAUGAUAGAAAUAUAAUAGAAACUAUAUAAUAGAUAUAAUUUAAUAAUUGUUUUAUAUUAAUAUAAAAAAUAACCUAUAAUACAAUAAUAAUAUAAUUGAUGUGCUUAAAUAUAAAUAUAAAGGCAUGCGUCAAUUAAAACAUAGGAAAGAACAAGCUCAUUGAUUAAUUAGAUGGAACGUUGUGGAAGUGGUGCACGAAUAUUAACAUUCUGUUAUAAUUCCUUAUUGUUAAAAUACUUUGUGAUGUAUGAAACUAACAGUCUAUGUUCAGAUAUUGAAUACAAAUCAAUGAAAUGAAGCAAAAGCAACAAUGUUUGCUGUAGACAGUGAAGGAUGCUAUUGGCACUGACUUAUGUGUAAGACUGCAUGAUUACCCACAAAUUACCCUAACCAUAUUUGGCAAAAAGGAAAACCUGCACAUGAGGUUGUUAACAGAGUUUAUGAUUGGAAUCCAAAAUAAAAGUGUGAAUACAGCUCAAUGACGGUGUGAAAGAGAAUAGCUCUGAACUGGAAAACCCAGACUGUGCCCACAGCCCACCUUAGAGGAAAUCAACAAUCAGCAACAGUGUGCUUUAGGUUUGGCAGAGAGACGCAGCCCAUACUGCACGGCUGAGGCCACAGACCAUCUGACUGUCCACAGAAUGAUUCUGCUGGAGCAAAGUGAUGGGCGAGAGGCCAGUUGGGUUCCAGUACCAGUGUAGAUAACACUGAGGAGGGAGGUGAAUGCACUGACACACUCCACAAUGAAGAUACACACGCACGCAGACGCACUCACUGAUGAUGUCACAGCUAACAGCAAUGAAGAAUGCUUGCUAUGCUUAGACUCAGAAAUGCUCACAGCUAACUGCAAUGAAGAACGCUUGUAACGCUUAGAUUCAGAAAUGAUUUGACAAUGUUUUUCAAAUGUAGAAAAAAAAAAAAACUUUAUAAAUCAUGUCAGAGACAAUAUUAGACUAAUACACUCAGACCUGAUGCAGAACAAGGAAUAGCACUUGUCAUAGACUCCCUGUUAAGAAGUUGUGGUACCUGAUCCCUACAUUCUGUUGAAUAAUUUACACCCAGAUAAGCAGAUCUUCUCAGUUAUAGAUGUUAGUAAUGCCUUUUGUAGUAUCCCAGUUCCCCCAGGUUCACAAUUUUGGUUUGCGCUUACUUACAAAGGUCAGCGAUGCACGUACACCAGGCUACAAUAAGGUUAUUGUAAAAGCCCGACUAGUUUCCGACUAGUGUAUUCCAGCAAAUUUUGCUGAAAUUACACCCCCACACAGUAGUCAGAUAUUACUGUACACAGAUGAUGUUCUGGUAGCGUCACAGACUGAAGAAGAAUGCAGUAAAGAUACUGUAGCACUUCUUUCAUUUCGGCCAGAGAACAGUCACAAAGUCAGUAAAAACAAACUGCAACUGUUGAAGAAAGAGUUUUCAAAAGUAGAGAACCUAGACCACAUUUACAGGACAAACCCAUACCUGGUUCUGUAUUUGUCUUUGUGGAUGGACCAAGCAAAAAAAGUCUGAAACUAGAAAAACGCAGAGUGGCUGUGUGGUUCUGACUGAUAGUGAGACCUUGAAAGCAGAACCGCUACCCCCACACUACAGAGCACAAGCAGCAGAAAUAAUUGCACUGACUGAGACAUGCCGACUUAGGUCAGAUAGUUACCAUCUAUACUGAUAGCAGAUACGCACAAUGAACUAUUCAUAUAUUUACCAGUCAAUGGGAAAAUAGAGGCAUGAUGACAUCAACGGGAAAGACUAUAAUGAAGGUGAUUUAAUGAAAAAUUUGUUAAAAGCGGUACAACUACCUGCAAAAAUAGCCAUUUGAUGCACUGCACUCCCAAAAGUGAAAAUAAAUAAAUAAAUAAAUAAAUAAAUGGACUCAAAGGACAAGCUGCUGAAAAGUUAUUACUAUGUUUGACAAGGGGAACCUGUCCUACCAACAUCCCUCUAUAAAGGAGCAGCAAUAUUGUGACGUGGGCCUUGCCAUGUCUCAACGGGGGGGGAUGGUAUGGAUAAAAAACAAACUACUAUACUGCUUAUGCAUUUACAAAUUAUUCUAAAAAAUGUUGUUCCCGAUGCAUCACUUGCUCUAAAUAUAACCCUCAAGGAAUUAUUCGACAAACAAGAAGAACAUUCCCUAUAGCAGAAUAUCCAUUUCAUUAUUUGCAUAUUGGAUUUUUGUGAAUUAACUAGCUGUCAAUGUAAAAAGUAGUGUUUGACAAUUAUUAACCUUUUUUUCCAAAUGGAUAGAUCCACUAGCUGUAGCAAAACUCUAGUAAGAUAUAAUACGAUUUGGGAUACUAGAUCGAAUUUAUAGUGAAAACGGACAACACAGAUUUUUCCUACCUGCUGCUAUCAGACUAUAUAACCAGAACUGUUAACUUCCUAUUGCUACAUUAACUCACCUACUGCAUCAGUGAUUUAUGUAAUAAUCUCCUCUGUGCAACAUUUGUGCAAAUCAGAACAAUAUUUAAAUUUAACAACCCUUCCAAUGCCUUCCAUAUGUCAAAGGUGUUAAAACAUCACAAGAAAUGUUUUUCUGAAAAUGCUUUUCAAGAGGUGCCUUGUCCACAGGAGGGACCACUGCAGGUUGGUGACUGGGUGUUCACCAGAGUCAUAAAGCGCAAGAACUGGACCUCACCCCGGUGGGAAGGCCCGUAUAGAGUGACGCUGACAACACCUACAGCCUGCAAAGUCGAAGGCAUCUCCCGGUGGAUACACAACACACACUGCAAAAGACAACAGGUACAGGCAACCGAGUAGUAUUGUCCGUGAGAAAAAACCCAACUGAGGGAGGGGAAAAGUCUGCCUACAAAGGGGGUCAGCAGCAUUUAGAGCACUGGUCGUCUCAACGGCAGCAAAGAAACCAGCGGUACCUUCUCUCACUUAGGGGGACAUUCUCAUAAGGAGAUACUAUGAGGGGACACUGUCCAGCCACGGGAGUUGUACUAACUGCCCUUGUACUGUUGAUUGAUGCUAAGCCACUCCCCGACCUCAUCAAGGAUGAGGAGAGACCUACUGACCAGUAUCACACUAAUUUGUGGUAUUGUUAAAUGAAGACAGAGCACUCUUAACUUUACUGGUUCAGUGUGUCUCUUAUUAUUAUGGUAUUGAUUUCAUGGGGACCCUCCCACAGUCUGAUAUCAACUAUGUUUGUAGGCACACAAUCUAUGGGCAUCUUCCACCCAAUUGGGUAGGUUGCUGUGCCCCUGUUUAUGUUUCAGAUGACUCCUACGUGAUGACACCACAGCAGACGACUUCCAAGGAAAGGCUACGGAAGCGAGAGAUCGACCUGAAGGAAAGUGAUCGGAUCUGGGGAUCAGACGUCCCCAUGGACAAGAAGCUCUGGACUACAGGCCAGAAAGUGGCACUAUCCCUAUUUCCAAGGUUGGGGGUAGGAACAAACAUGCUAAGAGCUGAAACCAUAAAUUACUGAAUGACUCAACAGGCACUCCGUGACCUACAGCACAUAUCCAAUGUGCAGGCGGCUGACGUAAUGAAGGACAAAUCGUGGUUGGUUUAAGUCUGGCACAUGGACUGACAUUAUGAUGAAGAUUUUUGGACCGAUUCUACUGAUUCUUUUGGUUCUGAUGCUGAUUGUGUUGUGCGUAAUUCCCUGUUUGAGGGCCAUGAUCAUCAAGCUGGUGAAUCAAGGCCUUCUCAGGGUGUGCACAGUCAUGCACUCUCAACAAAUACACUAUACACCUUUAAAGCUUGAUAACUGUAAAGUGAACCUCCACGAUGUCGACGGAAAUGGACGCUAAGCUGUAAAUAUUGUGCUUCUGUGCUUUUGACCCUGCCUACGAUGUUCUAACAUUUAUUCCAUGUUUUAUGAUGACUGCACUCAAAAUCAAAAGACGUUGUGCUGUUCUGAUGUAUGCAUGAUUGUUUAAUGAAUGUUUCAAUUUUAAACAGGAGGGAAAUGUUGGAAAAAUACUGCAUUUAAUCAUUGAAACAUUGUUGGAAUUUAUUUUGCUGAUCUGCUCAAGCCUUGUCAGCUGUGCUAUAGCCUUGAAGUUUUCUCCCUUCUGCUCUGCAAGAAAUAGGGAGUACCAGUGUGUAGCAUCCUUAUCUGAUGUGCCCAAUGCUUGCUUUGUGCAGAGAAUAUUUCCUACGUACUGUGUGACUAUGCACCUCCCAGAAUGCAAUACAUAUUAUGAGCUGAAUCCCUGUCUUCUCUUCAGUGAGAGGAAGUUGCCUUUGCUGUAAACUGCUCACUCCUUGCAAGUAAAAUCCUGAAGAAGGUC